This 406-nucleotide ribosomal RNA is filed under the name uncultured bacterium. RNAcentral's name for it is "partial 16S ribosomal RNA". It matches the Rfam family "Bacterial small subunit ribosomal RNA", at positions 29 to 526 of the family's 1533-position model. The record is from RNAcentral.
AUUGAACGCUGGCGGCAGGCCUAACACAUGCAAGUCGAGCGAGCGGCGGACGGGUGAGUAAUGUCUGGGAAACUGCCUGAUGGAGGGGGAUAAAUACUGGAAACGGUAGCUAAUACCGCAUACCAUCAGAAGUGCCCAGAUGGGAUUAGCUAGUAGGUGAGGUACUGGCUCACCUAGGCGACGAUCCCUAGCUGGGCUGAGAGCGUGACCAGCCAAACUGGAACGGAGACACGGUCCAGACUCCUACGGGAGGCAGCAGUGGGGAAUAUUGCACAAUGGGCGCAAGCCGGAUGCAGCCAUGCAGCGUGUGUGAAGAAGGCCUUCGGGUUGUAAAGCACUUUCAGCGGGGAGGCGUUACCCGCAGAAGAAGCACCGGCUAACUCCGUGCCAGCCGCCGCGGUAAUAC